CCUAAAGUACGGUAACCGCAAGGAGCCGCCUAGGGUAAAAACUGGUGACUGGGGCU
RNAcentral lists this ribosomal RNA (56 nucleotides) under uncultured bacterium. RNAcentral describes it as "partial 16S ribosomal RNA". The record is from RNAcentral.